CUGCGCCCCAAGGGUACCUUAAUUCAACAUCGAGGUCGUAAGCCUCCUUUUUGAUUAGGGCUCUAAAGAAGAUCACGCUGUUAUCCCUAAAGUAAUUUAAUCUAUAGGUUCCGAGGUCUUCAUUUCCAUACAUUUAUGUAAUAAACCCUACAGCUUUUCUGUGCAUGUCGUCCCAACCAAACCUUAAACAUCUACUAACUAAAAUAUCUUGACAAGAUAAAAUUUUAUAGGGUCUUAUCGUCCCCCGGGGAAUCUUAGGCAUUUUCACCUAAACACAAUUUAUACAGGAGAACCUGGAAAAAGGGGUCUCACGUCAACCCUUUCAUUCUAGCUUCCAAUUGAAAAACAAAUUAUUUUGCUACCUUAAUACAGCCUAAAUACUGCAACUCUUUACUAAAAAGCAGGGAGCAGGGACUACCUUCAAUAAKACCUCUAAAGGAGAUGUUU
This 447-nucleotide ribosomal RNA is filed under the name Eudorella truncatula. RNAcentral describes it as "partial large subunit ribosomal RNA". The record is from RNAcentral. Lineage: Eukaryota; Metazoa; Arthropoda; Malacostraca; Cumacea; Leuconidae.